AGAGAGUUAAACACGGAAAUCUGAGUCUCAGUACAUAACCGCCGCUACUAAAUUGAAUGACCUAAAGUUAACACAUAGUUGCAGCAUCCAUCCACUGUGCGCUUUUACGCAAUCCCUUUAAUUGGCCUUCGGCACAGUAGGACAGUGGCAUCAGAGGCGCAGAACAGAGUUUACCAUGCACUCUCUCAGGCUUGACUGACUACAUGACAUACGAGAUGAAGGCUGUUUUCUGGGGGGUUCUCCUCGCCUGUGUGGACUGGGGUUGGGGCCAGGAGAAUCUCACAUUUGAUGGAGACGUCCGCGACUUUGCCAUUAGUGACCGAUCCGUAUACGUCGUUACGGAUGACCGACUCUACCAGCUGAACCAUGAUUUUACCAAAGUUAUAAAGAGGGAUACUCCGAAUGUAGUUUAUCCUAACCAAGAAGCACCCCCUUCCAAUGAAACGUAUCCAUUUAAGGUAAACAUUUUACUGCCAUUCAUCAAAAACAAGACCUUGAUCACCUGUGGAACCACAAAAUGCGGUUACUGUGAAAUACUGGAUCUCAACGAAAUCUCGAAAUCUGUGCAUUCGGAGAAUAUUGAAGUGGGUUCAUUGGACCCUGGAGAUUCAACCAUUGGCUUUAUUGUUGAUGUCGGGACGAACUCCUACAUUAUGGCUGGAAGGCUGCCGAGCCGUGUGCGUAAAGCGUGUGUGAAUUCAGAUCAGUUGCUUGACCUACGGAAUACACUAGACGGACAGCAUGGGGGAAUCUUUUCUCAUUCAGAUGAGAGUACGACUCCGUAUAUUGACGCCAGACAAAAGGAGAACUUUCAGUUUGUGGACGGCUUUCAGAGUAAUUCACACAUCUACGUGUUCUCGAACGUUCCCCAAGAGCGUCAAGUUCGAGUUAUUUUGUUCAAGAGCGAGAACAGUAAAACAAAUACUUUGAGACACUUCCAAGGUGCAACACUCAAAUGCUGUGGAAACACGGAGCGGCGGGAGCUCCUGUCUUCCUCUGUGAUUCAAGGUUCUGGUGGGCUCCAUGGGCAGGUGCUCUGGGCAGGUGUGUUCACGGCUGGUAACACAAGCGACCCCAUCAACACCGUGCUGGCCAUCUAUAACAUCAGCUCUACAGGGCCUCAACUCAAAUACAAUGACCCAGACUUCUGCUAUAAAGGCUGUGCAGAGGCAUUGCCAACGGGUACCACCCAGGACCUGCAUCCAGAAGCAGUGGUGUUUAGAUACAGCUCCAUGACAUCAGUGUUGGCAGUGAGACACAACUCCUGGCUGGUGUUCUUCAUUGGGACAGGAGACGGACAACUCAUCAAGCUUGCUGUAGACAAGGCCUACAAACCUGCCUGUCCCAGAGUGCUCUACAAUUCAGAUGACGACCGCCGUGUGUUUCCCAAGAUGCACCUGGAUCCAGUGGACCGCAAACAUGUGUACAUGGCACUGAGGAACCAGAUGAUGCGUGUGCCUGUGGCUCAGUGCAGUGAACACAAGAGUCUGAAGGACUGUUGGUCUGCUCAGGACCCCUUCUGUGGCUGGUGUGAGUCAAGAUGUUCGUUUCAGGAUGACUGCCUUCAGCCUUCAGCCUGGAUCUCCAUCUCUGAGGACUCCCAACAACAGAACAUGGUCUCUUACCAGGUGGAGAAGAGCAGCAGUGGAGAGAAGAUCACACUCACUGUCAAGGUCCACCUGAAUGUGAAUGGGACAGGAAGUCUCACCUUUACCUGUAACUUCUUCAAUAAAAGAGGUGAUCUGUGUGACAGGACAAGUCCCGCUCCAGCUUUUCCGCAAUGCUCCUGCCUGUUCUCCAGCGACCAGCUUCCUGCUGAAGGUUUGAAUGUCACAGUGAAGAUAAGAGUGGGGAAGCAGAACCUUGCUGAGAAACUGAUGCUCACAAACUGUUCAGACAUCACUGGACCACCUACCUCUGCCCUGUGUUCUCAGUGCAUGACAGCUGGAUGUAGCUGGAGUAAUGAUGUCUGCUCCUGGACAACCAGGUCUGCCAACUCAGACCCCAUACAGGACGUGUGCAGACUCAGCCAGUCAGGUUUGAACUACUCUGAGCCAGUGAUCUUUUCCAUAGAGCCCAGUGUUCUGUCCUUCCAUGGGAGAAACCAUGCCUUGAUGAAUGGAGAGAACCUGGAUCAUGUGACCAAGGUUCGCAUCCAAGGGCACAUGAACUGCAGUCUCAAGGAGUCUCCAGUGUGGAACCACACUGGAUCCAGUCUGACGUUCCACAUCCCCAGUGGAGACAAAGGUUCUGUCAGUGUGUGUGCCGUGCUGCCAGACGGUCGCUGUCUGGGCAAGGCCACUGUCACCUAUGGGUCCUCACCAUCCUGCACUGGGCUAACACCAAGCACUACCUGGGCUAGUGGGAAGAGGAAGAUCAAGGUCCACGGGUCCCAUCUGGAGUUUGUGGAGGAGGUUGUUCAUGACCACGCCCCUCAGACAAUCCAAACCAAAUACAGCUCUGGGACUCUGUGGUACCACACACCUCCCUUUGAACACAUAAACCAGCCAGUCACCUCCACAGUGUCUCUGAGAGUGGCCAAUCAGACACUGGCCUGCUCAUCACAGUUCACCUACCAUCCCGACCCAGAAUUCACCAGCUACACCGCAAUCAAGACAGGAAAUGACAUGCGUGUCACCAUUGAGAAAAGGGCUGACAAGUUGAAUAUCACCACAGAAGAGAUCUUAGUGUUUGGUGUUCAGGAGGAGAACCAUGAUGUAGAGUGUGUCAUGGACACCAUCGAGACGAGCAACGAGACUGACUCUGUCAUCUGUGAGAUAAAGAACACUCCCAACUUUAACAUCAAUUCACUGAGGAUAAGAGUUGGAAACUUCACCAAAAUACUUUUGCCAAAACAAGCUGCACCUUCACUGCUAAUCAUCCUUGUGCUUAUACCCAUCGUCAUUGUGGUCAUUGUGGGUGUGGUGUUGUAUUCCUACAAUAAACAGAGGAAAAUGGCGGCACAAAUGAACAAGCAGCUGGAUCAGCUGGAGUGUGACAUCAGAAAUGACAUCAGACAAGGAUUUGUGGAUAUGCAGACGGAAAAGUGUGAUUUAAUUGAGAACGUUGGAGCCAUCCCUUUCUUGGACUACAAGCACUUUGCUUCCAGGAUCUUCUUCCCUGACGGUGGACCUGUGAUGACCUCCUGUAUCAAAGACAUUGGCCAGGACGCGGUGAAGGUGCAGCCAGACGAGAGCUGUCAGGCCCUGUCCAGACUGAUCCGGGAUCAAGUGUUCCUCACCUCCUUCGUCCACGCUCUGGAGGAGCAGAAGAACUUCAACGUCAAGGAGAAGUGUGCGGUGGCCUCCCUGCUGACCGUGUCCCUCCACGGUGACCUCCCCUACCUGACCCAGGUGAUGGAGGAACUACUCAGGGCUCUGAUGGAGCAGCCCAGUAACUCCCAGCCCAAACUCAUGCUGCGACGUACCGAGUCCAUCGUAGAGAAGCUUCUCACCAACUGGAUGUCCAUCUGUCUCUACGGCUUCCUCAGGGAGAGUGUGGGCCAGCCCCUUUUCCUGCUAGUGUGUGCCCUGACCCAGCAGAUGUCUAAAGGCCCAGUGGACUCAGUCACAGAAAAGGCUCUUUACACACUUAACGAAGACUGGUUACUGUGGCAGGCUCAGGACUUCAGCCCAAUGAGGCUACAGGUGUUGUUUGCUGUGGGAACAGACGGAGAGGUCAGUGAGCCUCUGGAGGUCAGUGCUCUGGACUGUGACACGGUGGAGCAGGUCAAGGAGAAGAUCCUCCUGGCCUUCAAGACCAAGUUUGGCUUCCCCUACAACAUCCCUCUCCGACAGAUGCACAUUGAGUAUGAGAAGAAUGGAAGGUUUGUCCCACUGAAAGAGGUGGAUGCCAGCUCAGGGGUUCUAGGAGAAGUGACCAUGCUCAACACACUCAAGCACUACAAGGUACCGGAUGGAGCGUCCAUCAAAGUGCUCUCUAAGACCCAUCCCAGUCUGAGUCCUCAGAGCAGCCUGAAAGGGUGGAGUCCCAUUGAGACCAAGGUCUCUUUUACAAGGGAGCCCUGGUGCAAACAAUUACUCAAUCAAGGCAGCAUGGGCCCAAAAGAAAUACACAAAGAAACACACAAAGAAAAAACAACAAUCAACAAAACAAACAUUCCUCAGUAAAGUUGAGUUUAAAGUAGACAUGUUUUGCUCCACAUUUACCCUCCCCAUCUUUCUAAUGUUGUUAUAUGACAGAUGUGAAACACAAGUGAGAUGCAAAACCACUUAACUGUGUCAGCUUACAUAAAACCCGAACAGAAACCAGGAAGCUGUUUAGCACAAUUGUCUGCUAUUUAGUCAUCCAUGGUGACCUGUUGUUGUGUAUUUGUCACAGACGAUCAGAACUACUCCACAAAGUACUUCCAUCUGAUUGAUCCUGACAUUGACCAGGACCAAAAGAAGAACCCGGAGAGGAAGAAGCUGAAACUGAAGGAAGUGUACCUCACCAAGCUGCUCUCCACCAAGGUGGCUGUGCAUUCGUUUGUGGAAAACCUGUUCAGAACGAUCUGGGGAACCCCUAACCUCAAAACCCCGCCUGCCAUCAAGUACUUCUUUGACUUCCUGGACGCCCAGGGAGAGAGCAAGAGGAUCAGUGACCAGGAUGUACUACACAUCUGGAAAACCAACAGCCUGCCCCUGCGGUUCUGGGUGAACAUCCUGAAGAACCCCCAGUUUGUGUUCGACAUGGAGAAGACCCCGCCUCUGGACGGCUGUCUCUCCGUCAUUGCCCAGGCCUUCAUGGACUCCUUCUCCCUGGCUGAGAAACAGUUGGGCAAGCAUGACCCAACCAAUAAACUGCUCUAUGCCAAAGAUAUCUCCCAGUACAAGCAGGAAGUAAGGGCUUACUACAAGCAGGUCAGGGACCAGCCACCAAUCAGCAGCUCUGAGUUCAAGGAGUUCCUGCAUAAGGAGUCAAAGAAACAUGAGAACGAAUUCAAUGAAUCUGCUGCCCUCCGUGAACUCUACAAAUACAUGCAGCUGUACUUUGAUGAGAUUAAACUGAAGCUGGAUCAGAACGGCGCCCCCGUGGAGUUGAAAGAGCAACUGCAGCAUGUGAAGAGCCUGUUUGACAGCCUCAAGAGCUGUUCCUGGAACUGAGCUCACUCCCUCCCCUUCGACGUGCUGAAGGCCAGAAAGCUGCUCUAAGUACCGAUGCCCACCCCCCCCCCCGCUUUGUGAUUCUAAGAUGGAAUAUGUCAGGAGACACAGGGAUUUACAAUUCAAGAAAAAAUAAAUAAAUCAGGAGGCUUUUCAGAUUACUGGGAUGAACCAAAUGAUGGCAGGAAUUAGCAGGUCACAUUCCAGACAGACAUUUACCCAGAAGCAGCGAAUAUACUCUUAUUCUGAAGCUGGGACUUUUGUUUCCUCAACCAAAACUGAAAGACUAAAGAA
RNA transcript from Oncorhynchus kisutch (coho salmon), 5399 nucleotides. It is a transcript of the gene named plexin-C1, with no coding region annotated. The transcript has 30 exons. The record is from RefSeq and is a predicted model, not a curated record. Lineage: Eukaryota; Metazoa; Chordata; Actinopteri; Salmoniformes; Salmonidae.